AUGCCUCCCAUAUUGCCAUGUCAACCUCUAACCUUUUCACCCUUCCUAGCAAACCGUUGUUUGGCUAUGUUACCGCUUUGCUCAGCCCCUCUUAUAGCGUUGUUAGUUGCAGGUGAAGUUGAAGAUUGCUCCAUGAUGGUCAGGAUUAUGUUGGGAUAUCACAAUAUCUCUUAUUUAAUUAAUGCAUCUAUAUACUUGGUAAAGGGUGGAAGGCUCGGCCUUAUGCCUGGUGUUUUGUUCCACUCUUGCCGCCCUAGUUUCCGUCAUACCAGUGUUAUGUUCCUUGAUUUUGCGUUCCUUACGCGGUUGGGUGAUUUAUGGGACCCCCUUGACAGUUCGCUUUGA
Molecule: ribosomal RNA, 345 nt
Filed under: Triticum aestivum (bread wheat)
Lineage: Eukaryota; Viridiplantae; Streptophyta; Magnoliopsida; Poales; Poaceae
Description: partial small subunit ribosomal RNA
Source: RNAcentral